AGAAAUUCCGGAGAAUCUCCUUUUAUGGAGUGCCGAAGGUGCAAGGGAAACCCCGAAUCUCUCAGGCAAAAGGACGGAACGCA
This 83-nucleotide non-coding RNA is filed under the name human gut metagenome. Its description in RNAcentral is "Glycine riboswitch". It matches the Rfam family "Glycine riboswitch aptamer". From Rfam's summary of the family: This family represents the bacterial glycine riboswitch. The record is from RNAcentral.